CGAGAGCAAGACUCCCUUC
Molecule: non-coding RNA, 19 nt
Filed under: Mus musculus (house mouse)
Lineage: Eukaryota; Metazoa; Chordata; Mammalia; Rodentia; Muridae
Source: RNAcentral